This 2889-nucleotide ribosomal RNA is filed under the name Klebsiella pneumoniae. Its description in RNAcentral is "23S ribosomal RNA". It matches the Rfam family "Bacterial large subunit ribosomal RNA". The record is from RNAcentral. Lineage: Bacteria; Pseudomonadati; Pseudomonadota; Gammaproteobacteria; Enterobacterales; Enterobacteriaceae.
UUAAGCGACUAAGCGUACACGGUGGAUGCCCUGGCAGUCAGAGGCGAUGAAGGACGUGCUAAUCUGCGAAAAGCGUCGGUAAGGUGAUAUGAACCGUUAUAACCGGCGAUGUCCGAAUGGGGAAACCCAGUGCAAUUCGUUGCACUAUCGUUAACUGAAUACAUAGGUUAACGAGGCGAACCGGGGGAACUGAAACAUCUAAGUACCCCGAGGAAAAGAAAUCAACCGAGAUUCCCCCAGUAGCGGCGAGCGAACGGGGAGCAGCCCAGAGUCUGAAUCAGCUUGUGUGUUAGUGGAACGGUCUGGAAAGUCCGACGGUACAGGGUGAUAGUCCCGUACACCAAAAUGCACAGGUUGUGAACUCGAAGAGUAGGGCGGGACACGUGGUAUCCUGUCUGAAUAUGGGGGGACCAUCCUCCAAGGCUAAAUACUCCUGACUGACCGAUAGUGAACCAGUACCGUGAGGGAAAGGCGAAAAGAACCCCGGCGAGGGGAGUGAAAAAGAACCUGAAACCGUGUACGUACAAGCAGUGGGAGCACCUUCGGGUGUGACUGCGUACCUUUUGUAUAAUGGGUCAGCGACUUAUAUUCUGUAGCAAGGUUAACCGUAUAGGGGAGCCGCAGGGAAACCGAGUCUUAACUGGGCGUUAAGUUGCAGGGUAUAGACCCGAAACCCGGUGAUCUAGCCAUGGGCAGGUUGAAGGUUGGGUAACACUAACUGGAGGACCGAACCGACUAAUGUUGAAAAAUUAGCGGAUGACUUGUGGCUGGGGGUGAAAGGCCAAUCAAACCGGGAGAUAGCUGGUUCUCCCCGAAAGCUAUUUAGGUAGCGCCUCGUGAACUCAUCUUCGGGGGUAGAGCACUGUUUCGGCUAGGGGGUCAUCCCGACUUACCAACCCGAUGCAAACUACGAAUACCGAAGAAUGUUAUCACGGGAGACACACGGCGGGUGCUAACGUCCGUCGUGAAGAGGGAAACAACCCAGACCGCCAGCUAAGGUCCCAAAGUCAUGGUUAAGUGGGAAACGAUGUGGGAAGGCACAGACAGCCAGGAUGUUGGCUUAGAAGCAGCCAUCAUUUAAAGAAAGCGUAAUAGCUCACUGGUCGAGUCGGCCUGCGCGGAAGAUGUAACGGGGCUAAACCAUGCACCGAAGCUGCGGCAGCGACACUAUGUGUUGUUGGGUAGGGGAGCGUUCUGUAAGCCUGCGAAGGUGNUGCUGGAGGUAUCAGAAGUGCGAAUGCUGACAUAAGUAACGAUAAAGCGGGUGAAAAGCCCGCUCGCCGGAAGACCAAGGGUUCCUGUCCAACGUUAAUCGGGGCAGGGUGAGUCGACCCCUAAGGCGAGGCCGAAAGGCGUAGUCGAUGGGAAACAGGUUAAUAUUCCUGUACUUGGUGUUACUGCGAAGGGGGGACGGAGAAGGCUAUGUUAGCCGGGCGACGGUUGUCCCGGUUUAAGCAUGUAGGCUGGUUGUCCAGGCAAAUCCGGAUAAUCAAGGCUGAGGUGUGAUGACGAGGCACUACGGUGCUGAAGUAACAAAUGCCCUGCUUCCAGGAAAAGCCUCUAAGCAUCAGGUAACAUCAAAUCGUACCCCAAACCGACACAGGUGGUCAGGUAGAGAAUACCAAGGCGCUUGAGAGAACUCGGGUGAAGGAACUAGGCAAAAUGGUGCCGUAACUUCGGGAGAAGGCACGCUGGUGUGUAGGUGAAGUCCCUGCGGAUGGAGCUGAGACCAGUCGAAGAUACCAGCUGGCUGCAACUGUUUAUUAAAAACACAGCACUGUGCAAACACGAAAGUGGACGUAUACGGUGUGACGCCUGCCCGGUGCCGGAAGGUUAAUUGAUGGGGUUAUCCGUAAGGAGAAGCUCUUGAUCGAAGCCCCGGUAAACGGCGGCCGUAACUAUAACGGUCCUAAGGUAGCGAAAUUCCUUGUCGGGUAAGUUCCGACCUGCACGAAUGGCGUAAUGAUGGCCAGGCUGUCUCCACCCGAGACUCAGUGAAAUUGAACUCGCUGUGAAGAUGCAGUGUACCCGCGGCAAGACGGAAAGACCCCGUGAACCUUUACUAUAGCUUGACACUGAACAUUGAGCCUUGAUGUGUAGGAUAGGUGGGAGGCUUUGAAGCGUGGACGCCAGUCUGCGUGGAGCCAACCUUGAAAUACCACCCUUUAAUGUUUGAUGUUCUAACGUUGGCCCCUNACCGGGGUUGCGGACAGUGUCUGGUGGGUAGUUUGACUGGGGCGGUCUCCUCCCAAAGCGUAACGGAGGAGCACGAAGGUUAGCUAAUCCUGGUCGGACAUCAGGAGGUUAGUGCAAUGGCAUAAGCUAGCUUGACUGCGAGCGUGACGGCGCGAGCAGGUGCGAAAGCAGGUCAUAGUGAUCCGGUGGUUCUGAAUGGAAGGGCCAUCGCUCAACGGAUAAAAGGUACUCCGGGGAUAACAGGCUGAUACCGCCCAAGAGUUCAUAUCGACGGCGGUGUUUGGCACCUCGAUGUCGGCUCAUCACAUCCUGGGGCUGAAGUAGGUCCCAAGGGUAUGGCUGUUCGCCAUUUAAAGUGGUACGCGAGCUGGGUUUAGAACGUCGUGAGACAGUUCGGUCCCUAUCUGCCGUGGGCGCUGGAGAAUUGAGGGGGGCUGCUCCUAGUACGAGAGGACCGGAGUGGACGCAUCACUGGUGUUCGGGUUGUCAUGCCAAUGGCACUGCCCGGUAGCUAAAUGCGGAAGAGAUAAGUGCUGAAAGCAUCUAAGCACGAAACUUGCCCCGAGAUGAGUUCUCCCUGAGACUUUAAGUCUCCUGAAGGAACGUUGAAGACGACGACGUUGAUAGGCCGGGUGUGUAAGCGCAGCGAUGCGUUGAGCUAACCGGUACUAAUGAACCGUGAGGCUUAACCUU